CAGGCCUAACACAUGCAAGUCGAACGGUAACAGGAUGUGCUUGCACAUCGCUGACGAGUGGCGGACGGGUGAGUAAUGCUUGGGAACUUGCCUUUGCGAGGGGGAUAACAGUUGGAAACGACUGCUAAUACCGCAUAAUGUCUACGGACCAAACGGGGCUUAGGCUCCGGCGCAGAGAGAGGCCCAAGUGAGAAUAGCUAGUUGGUGAGGUAAAGGCUCACCAAGGCGACGAUCUCUAGCUGUUCUGAGAGGAAGAUCAGCCACACUGGGACUGAGACACGGCCCAGACUCCUACGGGAGGCAGCAGUGGGGAAUAUUGCACAAUGGGGGGAACCCUGAUGCAGCCAUGCCGCGUGUGUGAAGAAGGCCUUCGGGUUGUAAAGCACUUUCAGUUGUGAGGAAAAGUGAGUAGUUAAUACCUGCUCACCGUGACGUUAACAACAGAAGAAGCACCGGCUAACUCCGUGCCAGCAGCCGCGGUAAUACGGAGGGUGCGAGCGUUAAUCGGAAUUACUGGGCGUAAAGCGCACGCAGGCGGUUUGUUAAGCUAGAUGUGAAAGCCCCGGGCUCAACCUGGGACGGUCAUUUAGAACUGGCAGACUAGAGUCUUGGAGAGGGGAGUGGAAUUCCAGGUGUAGCGGUGAAAUGCGUAGAUAUCUGGAGGAACAUCAGUGGCGAAGGCGACUCCCUGGCCAAAGACUGACGCUCAUGUGCGAAAGUGUGGGUAGCGAACAGGAUUAGAUACCCUGGUAGUCCACACCGUAAACGCUGUCUACUAGCUGUUUGUGACUUUAAGUCGUGAGUAGCGAAGCUAACGCGAUAAGUAGACCGCCUGGGG
This 838-nucleotide ribosomal RNA is filed under the name uncultured bacterium. Its description in RNAcentral is "bacterial SSU rRNA". It matches the Rfam family "Bacterial small subunit ribosomal RNA", at positions 43 to 878 of the family's 1533-position model. The record is from RNAcentral.